AUCUUUUUCUGGUUCAUAAGCAUAUGAUUGGAUCCUCACAUAUUUGCAUGACAUGUAUCUCCCUUAAACCUUGUUAUGAUGUGGGCACAUUACCCAUCUGACC
Molecule: small nucleolar RNA, 103 nt
Organism: Perognathus longimembris pacificus (Pacific pocket mouse)
Lineage: Eukaryota; Metazoa; Chordata; Mammalia; Rodentia; Heteromyidae
Product: small nucleolar RNA U13
Exons: 1
Source: RefSeq, a predicted model, not a curated record